Non-coding RNA from Alligator sinensis (Chinese alligator), 526 nucleotides. The record is from the annotation of a RefSeq genome assembly. NCBI's taxonomy places the organism in Eukaryota, Metazoa, Chordata, Crocodylia, Alligatoridae.
GGCAGAGCUGGUCUGCAUUUCCACCAUGGCCUUGGCCCCGCUCCUCCUCGUAUUCCUUGAAUGCUGCUCAGGUUCUCUUGCUGAGAGCAUGACAACUCAGCCGCCUUCGGUGUCCGUCUCUCCCGGACAAACUGCUACACUCACCUGCACAGCAAAUACCAUUAGUGGUUUCGGAGCAAGUUGGUACCAACAGAAACCUGGGAGUGCCCCCCUGAUCAUUAUGGGCAACGACAAUAAGAGACCCUCCGGUAUCUCGGACCGGUUCUCUGGUUCCAAGUCCGAGAACACGGCCACAUUGACCAUCACUGGAGUCCAAGCCCAGGACGAGGCUGAUUAUUACUGCUUUGCUCUUGUUGAUGGACAUGAUGGAUCAUCAUCUACCGAAGGAAGAUCUAUUCAGCAGCCUUUGGGGCUGGUCUUCGCCUCACAUACUUCUCGUGUCCCGCCUGAGAGUCUUCUUCUUGUGUCCCGCCUGAGAGAGCUGACGACAGGGAUUCAGCAGAACCUGCAGGUUGUUCGAAUCUGA